This 468-nucleotide ribosomal RNA is filed under the name uncultured bacterium. Its description in RNAcentral is "partial 16S ribosomal RNA". It matches the Rfam family "Bacterial small subunit ribosomal RNA", at positions 28 to 507 of the family's 1533-position model. The record is from RNAcentral.
GACGAACGCUGGCGGCGUGCUUAACACAUGCAAGUCGAACGGAAAGGCCCUGCUUUUGUGGGGUGCUCGAGUGGCGAACGGGUGAGUAACACGUGAGUAACCUGCCCUUGACUUUGGGAUAACUUCAGGAAACUGGGGCUAAUACCGGAUAGGAGCUCCUGCUGCAUGGUGGGGGUUGGAAAGUUCCGGCGGUUGGGGAUGGACUCGCGGCUUAUCAGCUUGUUGGUGGGGUAGUGGCUUACCAAGGCUUUGACGGGUAGCCGGCCUGAGAGGGUGACCGGCCACAUUGGGACUGAGAGACGGCCCAGACUGCUACGGGAGGCAGCAGUGGGGAAUAUUGCACAAUGGGCGGAAGCCUGAUGCAGCGACGCCGCGUGCGGGAUGACGGCCUUCGGGUUGUAAACCGCUUUCGCCUGUGACGAAGCGUGAGUGACGGUAAUGGGUAAAGAAGCACCGGCUAACUACGUG